CCUACGUGGUGCUGCAGUGAGGAAUAUUGGUCAAUGGGCGCAAGCCUGAACCAGCCAAGUCGCGUGAGGGAUGACGGUCCUAUGGAUUGUAAACCUCUUUUGUCGGGGAGCAAGGCCCGCCACGUGUGUCGGGAAGGAGAGUACCCGAAGCAAACGCAUCGGCUAACUCCGUGCCACCAGCAGCGGUAAUACGGAGGAUGCGAGCGUUAUCCGUAUUUAUUGGGUUUAAAGGGUGCGUAGGCGGAAGUUUAAGUCAGCGGUCAAAUGUCGGGGCUCAACACCGGCCUGCCGUUGAAACUGGUCUUCUUGAGUGAGCGAGAAGUAUGCGGAAUGCGUGGUGUAGCGGUGAAAUGCAUAGAUAUCACGCAGAACUCCGAUUGCGAAGGCAGCAUACCGGCGCUCAACUGACGCUGAGGCACGAAAGCGUGGGGAUCGAACAGGAUUAGAUACCCGGGUAGUC
RNAcentral lists this ribosomal RNA (460 nucleotides) under uncultured bacterium. Its description in RNAcentral is "partial 16S ribosomal RNA". It matches the Rfam family "Bacterial small subunit ribosomal RNA", at positions 338 to 795 of the family's 1533-position model. The record is from RNAcentral.